This 1329-nucleotide long non-coding RNA is filed under the name Homo sapiens (human). RNAcentral describes it as "HSALNT0293078". Lineage: Eukaryota; Metazoa; Chordata; Mammalia; Primates; Hominidae. The record is from RNAcentral.
GGAGGAUAUUAGCCCUUUGUCAGAUGAGUCUGUCAGAGAUGUGAAUGUAUAUCCAAUGGCCAUUACCUCUCUUGUGGCAGUCGAUGCUAGCUACAUGCAACAGAAAUUCAUUUCUCCAAGUGCGAAUAACAGAAAAUGUUGAGACUUUCAAGCCCUUUUGGGAGUAACAGUAUCCAAUUGAGAACACCACAUACACCUAGUCAUCAUGUCUCUUCAGUCAGAGGACACAGCAUUUAAUGUUGAAUGCUAAAAAAGAAUUUCUGAGUCUUUCCAAGAGGAAACAAUGUUGGAAGAACCCCAGGAGUCUGUCUUCCCAAUUGCCCUGUUUUCUACUUCUCCUAAGGAUGAGAUGAGAUUAUGAACAGGAAUGGUAAAUCACUUACAGCAGUAUAACAAGAACAAGAACAAGAACGAAGUUGUGUGACAGUAAUAGUGAAAAAUGAAUAGGGACAACCUAUGUAUGCCACAAACUCGGGGUGUAAAAAAUUUUUCUACAAACAUCUACUAAAAGAAGAAGAUCCUAUAUUCCUUGGGUGGAAACAUGGUAAGACAUGUGAGAAUGCCCAGUGAAACUGGGAAAAGUCCUCAGAAUCUUCCAUUUGCAGAUAAGAUUAAAAAACUGCUUGCAGACAUAAAAACAUUAUGGUUCUAGGCUAAUUUCAAUUUAUAGUUAAAUGACCACAGAGUUAAGCCACUAGCUAAUUUCCAUUUAGUGUUAAAAGACAUAAUAAAGAAUUAGAGAAAUCCAGAAUGGGAGGCAUUCUAUAGAACAACUAAACUAAUUUCUAUAAGUGAAUGGCUGAAGGAAAAGGGAGCAGAGGAAGAACUAUUCUAAAUUACGAGUGACCUAAAAAACAAACAUAUUAAAAUGUGGACCUUGUUUAGAUUUUAAUUCAAGUAAGCCAGAAAACACAUUUUUGAGAAAAUCCAUACAUUUGAUUAAGACCAGGUAUGAGAUUAUGCCAAAGAAACAUUAUGAGUGAUAAUAAUAUUGUGGUUUUGUAGUGGGCCAUAAUUUUUAGAGUUAUACUGAAUUAUGAAGGGGUAAAAUAAUACCAUCUGAUAUUUGCUGAAAAAUACUUCAAAUAAGAAAAAGAAAAAACGUGUUUUAAAUAGGUUAAGUGAUCCCAAGUUACAGUAAUCUAAACGGUGUGGUACUGACAUAAGGACAGACAUAUGGAUCAAUAGAAUAGAAUAGAGGUCCCAGAUAAACCCUUGUGCACGCACUCAAUCAAUCUUUGACAAGAGUGCCAAAACCAUACAAUGGGCUUAAAGGGUAGUCCUGUCAAUAAAUGGUGUUGAGAAAACUGGAUAUCCACAUGCAAAAGA